Molecule: ribosomal RNA, 565 nt
Filed under: uncultured bacterium
Lineage: Bacteria
Description: bacterial SSU rRNA
Rfam family: Bacterial small subunit ribosomal RNA
Source: RNAcentral
GGGAUUUUGGNCAUGGGGGCAACCCUGNUCCAGCCAUGCCGCGUGCGGGAAGAAGGCCUUCGGGUUGUAAACCGCUUUUGUCCGGAAAGAAAAGGCGCUCUCUAAUACGGGGCGUUCUUGACGGUACCGGAAGAAUAAGCACCGGCUAACUACGUGCCAGCAGCCGCGGUAAUACGUAGGGUGCGAGCGUUAAUCGGAAUUACUGGGCGUAAAGCGUGCGUAGGCGGUCCGCGAAGUCUGAUGCGAAAGCCCCGGGCUCAACCUGGGAACUGCAUUGGAAACUAACGGGCUCGAGUGUGGCAGAGGGGGGUGGAAUUCCACGUGUAGCAGUGAAAUGCGUAGAGAUGUGGAGGAACACCGAUGGCGAAGGCAGCCCCCUGGGCUAACACUGACGCUCAGGCACGAAAGCGUGGGGAGCAAACAGGAUUAGAUACCCUGGUAGUCCACGCCCUAAACGAUGUCAACUGGGUGUUGGGGAAGCGAUUCCUCAGUACCGUAGCUAACGCGUGAAGUUGACCGCCUGGGGAGUACGGCCGCAAGGUUAAAACUCAAAAAAAUUGACGGA